Molecule: ribosomal RNA, 253 nt
Filed under: uncultured bacterium
Lineage: Bacteria
Description: partial 16S ribosomal RNA
Rfam family: Bacterial small subunit ribosomal RNA
Source: RNAcentral
UACGAAGGGUGCAAGCGUUACUCGGAAUUACUGGGCGUAAAGCGUGCGUAGGCGGUUUGUUAAGUCCGUUGUGAAAGCCCUGGGCUCAACCUGGGAAUUGCAGUGGAUACUGGCGAGCUAGAGUGCGGUAGAGGAUGGUGGAAUUCCCGGUGUAGCGGUGAAAUGCGUAGAGAUCGGGAGGAACACCCGUGGCGAAGGCGGCCAUCUGGACCAGCACUGACGCUGAGGCACGAAAGCGUGGGGAGCAAAUGGG